AGUGAACGCUGGCGGUAGGCCUAACACAUGCAAGUCGAACGGCAGCACAGUAAGAGCUUGCUCUUACGGGUGGCGAGUGGCGGACGGGUGAGGAAUACAUCGGAAUCUACUUUUUCGUGGGGGAUAACGUAGGGAAACUUACGCUAAUACCGCAUACGACCUACGGGUGAAAGCAGGGGAUCUUCGGACCUUGCGCGAUUGAAUGAGCCGAUGUCGGAUUAGCUAGUUGGCGGGGUAAAGGCCCACCAAGGCGACGAUCCGUAGCUGGUCUGAGAGGAUGAUCAGCCACACUGGAACUGAGACACGGUCCAGACUCCUACGGGAGGCAGCAGUGGGGAAUAUUGGACAAUGGGCGCAAGCCCGAUCCAGCCAUACCGCGUGGGUGAAGAAGGCCUUCGGGUUGUAAAGCCCUUUUGUUGGGAAAGAAAAGUAGCAGGUUAAUACCCCGCUGUUCUGACGGUACCCAAAGAAUAAGCACCGGCUAACUUCGUG
RNAcentral lists this ribosomal RNA (492 nucleotides) under uncultured bacterium. RNAcentral describes it as "partial 16S ribosomal RNA". It matches the Rfam family "Bacterial small subunit ribosomal RNA", at positions 29 to 507 of the family's 1533-position model. The record is from RNAcentral.